This is a long non-coding RNA of Fundulus heteroclitus (mummichog), 122 nucleotides long. RefSeq lists it as uncharacterized. The record is from RefSeq and is a predicted model, not a curated record. Lineage: Eukaryota; Metazoa; Chordata; Actinopteri; Cyprinodontiformes; Fundulidae. The transcript is spliced from 2 exons.
CCUUCGUAACAAGGAGUCAGAGUUCUGCCCUCAGCACGUCCAGGAGCGGCCAGUCGCAGAGUGCGAGCCGAACCAGGGGCCGAGCCGCAGCGUCAAAAAUAAAGACUGAUAUUAUUUUUGUA